CAAUAGCGUAUAUUAAAGUUGUUGCAGUUAAAAAGCUCGUAGUUGGAUUUCUGGUGAGAUGGAUUAUGUCUGGGUCGAAAGAUCUUGUUCAUGGUUCGUUUUGCCCUUCUUGUCAGGAACCCGCUGAGAUUCGCGUCUUGUCGGUGGAAUGGCAUCGUUUACUGUGAAAAAAUUAGAGUGUUCAAAGCAGGCAUCGCCGUUGAAUACAUUAGCAUGGAAUAAUAAGAUAAGACUUUGGUGGUCUAUUUUGUUGGUUUGCACGCCAAAGUAAUGAUUAAUAGGGAUAGUUGGGGGUAUUCGUAUUCUAUUGCUAGAGGUGAAAUUCUUAAAUUUAUGGAAGACGAACUACUGCGAAAGCAUUUACCAAGGAUGUUUUCAUUAA
RNAcentral lists this ribosomal RNA (382 nucleotides) under uncultured eukaryote. RNAcentral describes it as "partial 18S ribosomal RNA". It matches the Rfam family "Eukaryotic small subunit ribosomal RNA", at positions 592 to 976 of the family's 1831-position model. The record is from RNAcentral.